RNAcentral lists this ribosomal RNA (2915 nucleotides) under Vibrio campbellii CAIM 519 = NBRC 15631 = ATCC 25920. RNAcentral's name for it is "Vibrio campbellii CAIM 519 = NBRC 15631 23S ribosomal RNA". It matches the Rfam family "Bacterial large subunit ribosomal RNA". The record is from RNAcentral. Lineage: Bacteria; Pseudomonadati; Pseudomonadota; Gammaproteobacteria; Vibrionales; Vibrionaceae.
GUUGUAUGGUUAAGUGACUAAGCGUACACGGUGGAUGCCUUGGCAGUCAGAGGCGAUGAAGGACGUAUUAACUUGCGAUAAGCCCAGAUUAGGUAGUAAAAACCAUUUGAGUCUGGGAUUUCCGAAUGGGGAAACCCACUAGCAUAAGCUAGUAUCGCUGCGUGAAUACAUAGCGCAGCGAGGCGAACCGGGGGAACUGAAACAUCUAAGUACCCCGAGGAAAAGAAAUCAACCGAGAUUCCGAAAGUAGCGGCGAGCGAAAUUGGACUAGCCCUUAAGCUUUUUAUGCGUCAGGUGAAACUUCUGGAAAGUUGUGCGAUACAGGGUGAUAGCCCCGUAACCGGCAACGCAUUUAAAGUGAAAUCGAGUAGGGCGGGACACGUGAUAUCCUGUCUGAAUAUGGGGGGACCAUCCUCCAAGGCUAAAUACUACUGACUGACCGAUAGUGAACCAGUACCGUGAGGGAAAGGCGAAAAGAACCCCUGUGAGGGGAGUGAAAUAGAACCUGAAACCGUGUACGUACAAGCAGUAGGAGCACCUUCGUGGUGUGACUGCGUACCUUUUGUAUAAUGGGUCAGCGACUUAUAUUCAGUGGCAAGGUUAACCAUCUAGGGGAGCCGUAGGGAAACCGAGUCUUAACUGGGCGUUCAGUCUCUGGAUAUAGACCCGAAACCAGGUGAUCUAGCCAUGGGCAGGUUGAAGGUUGAGUAACAUCAACUGGAGGACCGAACCGACUAAUGUUGAAAAAUUAGCGGAUGACUUGUGGCUAGGGGUGAAAGGCCAAUCAAACCUGGAGAUAGCUGGUUCUCCCCGAAAGCUAUUUAGGUAGCGCCUCGGACGAAUACUACUGGGGGUAGAGCACUGUUAAGGCUAGGGGGUCAUCCCGACUUACCAACCCUUUGCAAACUCCGAAUACCAGUAAGUACUAUCCGGGAGACACACGGCGGGUGCUAACGUCCGUCGUGGAGAGGGAAACAACCCAGACCGCCAGCUAAGGUCCCAAAUUACUACUAAGUGGGAAACGAUGUGGGAAGGCUCAGACAGCCAGGAUGUUGGCUUAGAAGCAGCCAUCAUUUAAAGAAAGCGUAAUAGCUCACUGGUCGAGUCGGCCUGCGCGGAAGAUGUAACGGGGCUAAGUAGUAAACCGAAGCUGCGGCAAUGCACUUUAGUGCAUUGGGUAGGGGAGCGUUCUGUAAGCGGUUGAAGGUGUGUGGUAACGCAUGCUGGACGUAUCAGAAGUGCGAAUGCUGACAUGAGUAACGAUAAAGGGGGUGAAAAACCCCCUCGCCGGAAGACCAAGGGUUCCUGUCCAACGUUAAUCGGGGCAGGGUAAGUCGACCCCUAAGGCGAGGCCGAAAGGCGUAGUCGAUGGGAAACGGGUUAAUAUUCCCGUACUUCUUACAAUUGCGAUGGGGGGACGGAGAAGGCUAGGUGGGCCUGGCGACGGUUGUCCAGGUUCAAGUGCGUAGGCUGAGAGAUUAGGUAAAUCCGGUUUCUCUUAAGGCUGAGACACGACGUCGAGCUACUACGGUAGUGAAGUCAUUGAUGCCAUGCUUCCAGGAAAAGCCUCUAAGCUUCAGAUUGUAAGGAAUCGUACCCCAAACCGACACAGGUGGUCGGGUAGAGAAUACCAAGGCGCUUGAGAGAACUCGGGUGAAGGAACUAGGCAAAAUGGUACCGUAACUUCGGGAGAAGGUACGCUCUCGACGGUGAAGUCCCUUGCGGAUGGAGCUAUUGAGAGUCGCAGAUACCAGGUGGCUGCAACUGUUUAUUAAAAACACAGCACUGUGCAAAAUCGUAAGAUGACGUAUACGGUGUGACGCCUGCCCGGUGCCGGAAGGUUAAUUGAUGGGGUUAGACUUCGGUCGAAGCUCUUGAUCGAAGCCCCGGUAAACGGCGGCCGUAACUAUAACGGUCCUAAGGUAGCGAAAUUCCUUGUCGGGUAAGUUCCGACCUGCACGAAUGGCGUAAUGAUGGCCACGCUGUCUCCACCCGAGACUCAGUGAAAUUGAAAUCGCUGUGAAGAUGCAGUGUACCCGCGGCUAGACGGAAAGACCCCGUGAACCUUUACUACAGCUUGGCACUGAACAUUGACCCUACAUGUGUAGGAUAGGUGGGAGGCUUUGAAACUAGUACGCCAGUAUUAGUGGAGCCGUCCUUGAAAUACCACCCUUGUAGUGUUGAUGUUCUAACGUCGACCCCUUAUCGGGGUUGCGGACAGUGCCUGGUGGGUAGUUUGACUGGGGCGGUCUCCUCCCAAAGCGUAACGGAGGAGCACGAAGGUGGGCUAAUCACGGUUGGACAUCGUGAGGUUAGUGCAAUGGCAUAAGCCCGCUUGACUGCGAGAAUGACAAUUCGAGCAGGUGCGAAAGCAGGUCAUAGUGAUCCGGUGGUUCUGAAUGGAAGGGCCAUCGCUCAACGGAUAAAAGGUACUCCGGGGAUAACAGGCUGAUACCGCCCAAGAGUUCAUAUCGACGGCGGUGUUUGGCACCUCGAUGUCGGCUCAUCACAUCCUGGGGCUGAAGUCGGUCCCAAGGGUAUGGCUGUUCGCCAUUUAAAGUGGUACGCGAGCUGGGUUUAGAACGUCGUGAGACAGUUCGGUCCCUAUCUGCCGUGGGCGUUGGAAGAUUGAAGGGGGCUGCUCCUAGUACGAGAGGACCGGAGUGGACGAACCUCUGGUGUUCGGGUUGUGUCGCCAGACGCAUUGCCCGGUAGCUAAGUUCGGAAUCGAUAACCGCUGAAAGCAUCUAAGCGGGAAGCGAGCCCUGAGAUGAGUCUUCCCUGAUACUUUAAGUAUCCUAAAGGGUUGUUCGAGACUAGAACGUUGAUAGGCAGGGUGUGUAAGCGUUGUGAGGCGUUGAGCUAACCUGUACUAAUUGCCCGUGAGGCUUAACCAUACAACACCCAAGGGGUUU